This is a long non-coding RNA of Triticum urartu, 905 nucleotides long. RefSeq lists it as uncharacterized. The record is from RefSeq and is a predicted model, not a curated record. Lineage: Eukaryota; Viridiplantae; Streptophyta; Magnoliopsida; Poales; Poaceae.
CAAUCCAUCCACUCCACCCAACCGACCUGACCACCUCCCUUGUUUUCAGCUCCAGCCUCCACCUCUCCCUCCAGACCCAGCCACCGCUCUCUCCAUUCCUUCAUCGGGAUCUCGACCCGCAGCCAACCACCUCCCCCAUCGAUCCAUCCAUCCAUCGAAUCGAGCCAGCAGCCGCUCGAGAGCCCCCUGGCUCGCCUCCAUCCUCGGGCGCGAGAGGAGCUCUCCCGAGGCUCCCGAGCCGCCCUCCGCCUCGAUCCGCCGGUGCCCGACCCCGGGGCCUCGCGCUGAUGGCCGCCGGCCACUCAAGCAGCAGCAACAGACCACAGCGCCCCUCUCCUCCAUUCUUCCCUUCUCUUCCUCCCUGCCUCUCUCUCUCACCUCGUCUCCCUGCAGGAACGGAGUGCCGACGUCCCGCCAUGGAUGACGCCAUGGUUGCCGAGCUCCUCCACCUGCACCACGACGCCCUCCUCCUGCGGCAUAUGGCUCCCACAGGAGCUCCCAUGCCUAUGCCUCGACCCCGCCGUCCUCACCAAGUCCAGCACUACUCACCGCCGUCCUGUUCGUCUUCCAGCCGCGCCGCGUCGAGCUCUGUCGCGCCAAGUCCCAUCUUGCCGCCAUGGCCUGCACCGCGCCCUCUGCAUUCUGUAGCGCCAUGGCCCCUGCUCCGAUCGAACCGGCCCCGGCGUUGCCCGCGCCUUCCUCGCCCGCGUCGGCCACGUCCAGCGCCAAGACUCGCCGCGGCCUUUUUUUCUCUAUGAGAAACACCCGUAACUUUAUUCAUGCUCGUAACAAUUACAGACUUUAUUCAUGCUCGUAACAAUUACAGGUACACUGAUUUGGCACACUGAUUUGAAUUACAAAGUAACUCUUAUGACUAAAAAUUACAAUAAAAUCUUUUAAAAACA